RNAcentral lists this ribosomal RNA (718 nucleotides) under Rhodococcus sp. 11AAIII. RNAcentral describes it as "bacterial SSU rRNA". It matches the Rfam family "Bacterial small subunit ribosomal RNA", at positions 66 to 801 of the family's 1533-position model. Lineage: Bacteria; Bacillati; Actinomycetota; Actinomycetes; Mycobacteriales; Nocardiaceae. The record is from RNAcentral.
GCGGUAAGGCCUUUCGGGGUACACGAGCGGCGAACGGGUGAGUAACACGUGGGUGAUCUGCCCUGCACUUCGGGAUAAGCCUGGGAAACUGGGUCUAAUACCGGAUAUGACCUCCUAUCGCAUGGUGGGUGGUGGAAAGAUUUAUCGGUGCAGGAUGGGCCCGCGGCCUAUCAGCUUGUUGGUGGGGUAAUGGCCUACCAAGGCGACGACGGGUAGCCGACCUGAGAGGGUGACCGGCCACACUGGGACUGAGACACGGCCCAGACUCCUACGGGAGGCAGCAGUGGGGAAUAUUGCACAAUGGGCGAAAGCCUGAUGCAGCGACGCCGCGUGAGGGACGACGGCCUUCGGGUUGUAAACCUCUUUCAGCAGGGACGAAGCGCAAGUGACGGUACCUGCAGAAGAAGCACCGGCUAACUACGUGCCAGCAGCCGCGGUAAUACGUAGGGUGCAAGCGUUGUCCGGAAUUACUGGGCGUAAAGAGUUCGUAGGCGGUUUGUCACGUCGUUUGUGAAAACUCACAGCUCAACUGUGAGCCUGCAGGCGAUACGGGCAGACUUGAGUACUGCAGGGGAGACUGGAAUUCCUGGUGUAGCGGUGAAAUGCGCAGAUAUCAGGAGGAACACCGGUGGCGAAGGCGGGUCUCUGGGCAGUAACUGACGCUGAGGAACGAAAGCGUGGGUAGCGAACAGGAUUAGAUACCCUGGUAGUCCACGCC